UACAGAGGGUGCGAGCGUUAAUCGGAAUUACUGGGCGUAAAGGGCGCGUAGGCGGUCAUAUGUGUGGGAUGUGAAAGCCCUGGGCUUAACCUAGGAAACGCAUACCAAACUGUGUGACUGGAGUAUAUGAGAGGGUAGCGGAAUUUCCGGUGUAGCGGUGAAAUGCGUAGAGAUCGGAAGGAACGCCAAUGGCGAAGGCAGCUACCUGGCAUAAUACUGACGCUGAGGCGCGAAAGCGUGGGGAGCAAACAGG
RNAcentral lists this ribosomal RNA (253 nucleotides) under uncultured bacterium. RNAcentral describes it as "partial 16S ribosomal RNA". It matches the Rfam family "Bacterial small subunit ribosomal RNA", at positions 524 to 776 of the family's 1533-position model. The record is from RNAcentral.